ACAACAGGUGGAGCCUGCGGUUAAUCGGACUCAACGCCGGGAAACUCACCAGAUAAGACAGCUGAAUGAUAGUCGGGCUGAAGACUCACUUGACUAGCUGAGAGGAGGUGCAUGGCCGUCGUCAGUUCGUACUGUGAAGCAUCCUGUUAAGUCAGGCAACGAGCGAGACCCACGCCAACAGUUGCCAGCUCGUCCUCCGGGAUGGUGGGGACACUGUUGGGACCGCCUCUGCUAAAGAGGAGGAAGGAAUGGGGCAACGGUAGGUCAGCAUGCCCCGAAUUAUCUGGGCUACACGCGGGCUACAAUGGGUGGGACAAUGGGUAUCGACACCGAAAGGUGAAGGCAAUCUCCUAAACCCAUCCGUAGUUCGGAUUGUGGGCUGCAACUCGCCCACAUGAAGCUGGAAUCUGUAGUAAUCGUGUCUCAAAAUGGCACGGUGAAUAUGUCCCUGCUCCUU
Molecule: ribosomal RNA, 457 nt
Filed under: uncultured Methanomicrobiales archaeon
Lineage: Archaea; Methanobacteriati; Methanobacteriota; Methanomicrobia; Methanomicrobiales
Description: bacterial SSU rRNA
Rfam family: Archaeal small subunit ribosomal RNA
Source: RNAcentral